UCAUUUGAGGCAGAGAGGAGUGGGACUUGGAGGUCUAGGGCACUUGAGGUCGUGGUGUCUCUAGGAGGAUUUGAAAUGAACCUGUAGCUCUAUUGCUUCAUAACACCUUUUAGGUGUUAUUAGUCCUCCUGAUGGGUUCUGUAGACAGCAAAAGUGUGCAGGGAGAGCCUUCAAGGCAUUCUGCUAUAUCUUUGAAACAGGAAGAGCACAGUCAGACACAGCAUCUGUAAAAGGAGCCCAGACAAAUGAAUGGGAGGCAUUCUGAUCCCAGUUUUAUUUUGCUUUUUUGAUACAUCCAGAAGUUCUAACCGACAAAAGAGGUUCACUGGACAGCAUGUUCUACAAACAGGUUUCAUAUCCAAAUACAGAAUCUACCGAGCAGAAGAAUCAGCAUCUACAUUCACAUUUAUGAUAUCUGGCUUACAUGAGAGCUUUCCAGCAACAAAAAGCCUGUUCUGAACAUAGUUAUCUCCCUUUUAUCAAAUUCUCUGGCAUAAAUGCUAGCCAAAAAAAAAAAAAAAGUCAG
Molecule: long non-coding RNA, 526 nt
Organism: Corapipo altera (White-ruffed manakin)
Lineage: Eukaryota; Metazoa; Chordata; Aves; Passeriformes; Pipridae
Exons: 4
Source: RefSeq, a predicted model, not a curated record